Molecule: ribosomal RNA, 558 nt
Filed under: uncultured bacterium
Lineage: Bacteria
Description: partial 16S ribosomal RNA
Rfam family: Bacterial small subunit ribosomal RNA
Source: RNAcentral
UGGGGAAUAUUGCACAAUGGGCGCAAGCCUGAUGCAGCCAUGCCGCGUGUGUGAAGAAGGCCUCGGGUUGUAAAGCACUUUCAGCGAGGAGGAAGGUGGUGAGCUUAAUNCGCUCAUCAAUUGACGUUACUCGCAGAAGAAGCACCGGCUAACUCCGUGCCAGCAGCCGCGGUAAUACGGAGGGUGCAAGCGUUAAUCGGAAUACUGGGCGUAAAGCGCACGCAGGCGGUUUNUUAAGUCAGAUGUGAAAUCCCCGGGCUCAACCUGGGAACUGCAUUUGAAACUGGCAAGCUAGAGUCUCGUAGAGGGGGGUAGAAUUCCAGGUGUAGCGGUGAAAUGCGUAGAGAUCUGGAGGAAUACCGGUGGCGAAGGCGGCCCCCUGGACGAAGACUGACGCUCAGGUGCGAAAAGGCGUGGGGCAGCAAACAGGAUUAGAUACCCUGGUAGUCCACGCUGUAAACGAUGUCGAUUUUGGAGGUUGUGCCCCUUGAGGCGUGGCUUCCGGAGCUAACGCGUUAAAUCGACCGCCUGGGGAGUACGGCCGCAAGGUUAAAACUC